Molecule: long non-coding RNA, 1469 nt
Organism: Cucurbita maxima (winter squash)
Lineage: Eukaryota; Viridiplantae; Streptophyta; Magnoliopsida; Cucurbitales; Cucurbitaceae
Exons: 6
Source: RefSeq, a predicted model, not a curated record
AUCAGAGAGCUAAGCAUCGACGAGCAACCAAAUGAGAAGAGGACAAACGAUUAGAAAGAAAAAGAAAAGAAUCUUGUCCCGGUUUCGGGGUGUGAAUUGCUCUGCGAAGCCACUGAUAAGUCUCUGAACGAACCCAUUGCUUACCAAGUUUCUCAGAAGGAAUCCACCGAAAAUAAGGACCCAGAUCAUUCACAGAGACUGAACGGCGAGAAAAUUACCAGUGAACAGUUCUAAGAGACUUUCAAAAGGAACCGAGAAGCGUCCUUCAUCCUUCUUCUGUUCUUCUUCCUCCUCCUCCUCCUGUUCUUCAGAAGACACUAAAUAGGAGGUUGAUUGAGGAGUGUUUGAAUUGACGAAGGUAGCCAAAGCAACCGUGAGCAUCUUGUCUGGAAACUUGCAUCAAUCGGUUGAGUGGCUUGGUUUAUUAUCAUCUUCUCUAAGCGAGGAGAGAACUGUAAAGUCAACCAGGCUGCAAUAUAGACGGUCUAAGAAGAUAAGGGUGCCAAAACACGUAACAAUGAUUCAUGAGACUUAUAAUUCUUUGGGGAAGAUGCACGGAGAAAAACAAGUAAAAAUUUUGAUCCUAAGAAUCUUCUACGACUGUUCUUGUGGGCUCCUGAAACAAAGAAGCUUUUAACAGUUCAAGAAGAGUCUGAGUUGAUUGUCCAAAUCCAGGAUUUAAUAAUGUUGGAAUUACAGUUGAGAGAUUGGAUAAGUUACUUUUUAUGUCCUGAAUUUCGUGUUCAUUGCAGCAACCUGCAUGGGCUGACCAUGAUACCACUUUUCAGGAAAUAACUGCAAACUUUGAAGUCAAGGCACAUUCGGAAUCUCCUUGGCAUUCUCGAUCCGAAUGAGAGACAGAUCAUUAGACUACAAUUUGGGCUCAAAGAUUGUAAAGAGAAGACUUCGUCGUAAAUAGGCAACAUGGUUGAUUUAUUCAGAGAGAGAGGGUGCAAAGGCUCAAGAACCGUGAGAUCUCACAUCGGUUGGAUGUGGGAAUAAAACAUUCUUUAUAAGUGUAGAAAUCUCUUCCUAGCAUACGUAUUUUAAAAUCAUAAGACUGAUAGCGAUACGUAAUGGGCCAAAGCGGAUAAUAUCUGUUAGCGGUGAGCUUGGGUUGUUACAAGAACCGAGCCUUGUACAAGCUUAAACGAUGCUGCAACAACCAAUGACUCGGUGACUAAAACACUAUACCGACUGGGAAAUCGCCAUCAAGCUCGAGAAAAAGAAGAAGAAACACAAUUCUUUGAGCCAUGGCAAGGAUGGAUUGUGAAAUGAUUGUAUGGAUUGUGAAGGAUGGAUGGAGACCCAUCCAUUCUAAACGCCUUUCCUAAGACCAAAAAGACCAACUCAUGCUGCCUUACCACAUGGCUGGACCCAUUUUUAUAGCAUCUCCACUUUUCUUUUCUGCUUCCCUAACUAUAAUAAUAUAAUUAUAUACACUCUAAAUUUAUUCUAUUUUUAUUUUU